This 253-nucleotide ribosomal RNA is filed under the name uncultured bacterium. RNAcentral describes it as "partial 16S ribosomal RNA". It matches the Rfam family "Bacterial small subunit ribosomal RNA", at positions 524 to 776 of the family's 1533-position model. The record is from RNAcentral.
UACAGAGGUCCCGAGCGUUGUUCGGAUUCAUUGGGCGUAAAGGGUGCGUAGGCGGCGAGGUAAGUCUGAUGUGAAAUCCCGGGGCUCAACCCCGGAACUGCAUUGGAUACUGCCUUGCUUGAGGACUGGAGAGGAGACUGGAAUUCAUGGUGUAGCAGUGAAAUGCGUAGAGAUCAUGAGGAAGACCAGUGGCGAAGGCGGGUCUCUGGACAGUUCCUGACACUGAGGCACGAAGGCCAGGGGAGCAAACGGG